GCGUAGAGAUCAUGUGUGUGGAUUUUAGGAAGAGAGAGAAGAAAGUAUUUUUCUCAUGAUCUCUAGCGUAGAGAUCAUCAUCCUCCUAUUCUCUUCUUCUUCUCUAAGAGAGUCUUGAGAGAAGUAAAGAGUUUUCAACCGUUAAGAUACGAUCUCUACAAGGGAGCUAGUAUCCUGAUGAAAUCAAGAAGCAUCUGAUCAGAUCAAAAUUUUGUGUGGAUACCCAUAGAGGUCGGAUACUUGUGUGGUUUCAAGGGACCUUCGGAAGACAUCCAUGAUCAUCAGAUCAUGGUGUAGAUCGACCCGCGUCAAGAUAUAGAGAUUAGAUCUUUUUUAUUAUUUUUUUUCUAUUUGAUUUCUAUAUCUAAAUUCUAUCUCACAUAUUUGAUUUCUCCUCUCUGCUUGCCUCUUUCUCUUGUUUUCUUUUAUCAUUCUCUCUCUUCCUUUUUACUCUCUCUCCUUCUCUCUCAUGGAUUUGAUGGACCUUAUAAUAGAGGGUUCGUUGCUUAUGUCCUUUGUCAACCUCAAUAAGGGGUUUGGAACCACCUGAUGGUCAAGCAGCAUAUCGAUCCCUACCUUGGCCUUCAUCAAGUCCUAUUGAACUCCACCUGUUAGAUGUAUGUCCCAGAAACC
This 633-nucleotide long non-coding RNA is filed under the name Elaeis guineensis (African oil palm). RNAcentral's name for it is "long non-coding RNA (EGUI_LNC021315)". The record is from RNAcentral. Lineage: Eukaryota; Viridiplantae; Streptophyta; Magnoliopsida; Arecales; Arecaceae.